RNAcentral lists this long non-coding RNA (654 nucleotides) under Marmota monax (woodchuck). Lineage: Eukaryota; Metazoa; Chordata; Mammalia; Rodentia; Sciuridae. The record is from RNAcentral.
CCAACACUGCCAUCAAAGGGCCAAAUGCACAUAGCAGCCUCAGAGCUGUGCCUCCUUGGUUGGGGGCCUGCGCUGAAGUCCUGACAGAGGACCUGUCCAUGGCAUCGCUGGCCCAGGCUGUGGCCAACCCUGGAUGGUCUAAGGAGACUGCAACUGGCUGAAUGGGGCUCUGUACCAUUUACCACAGGGUCCGAGAUGGGCAGAAGGGUUCUGUCCCUUCUCAGGUCUACCACUUGGGCAUUUGUGGAGCAUAAUUGGGCAUGUACAUGUCCUGAGUUCAGUGUAUUAUUGGGUUCCACUGACUUGGCCCUUGGGCAUUGUUAGCUUAUUAGAAAAAGAACAAGCUGACUGGGCCCCGUGACUUAAGGUGAGGCGGUGGGGACAUUUUAUUGCUUGUGAUUUCCCCUUUCCUGGGCCUGUGCUGGGGAAGAGGCCUGACUCCCACUGAAAGAAAGAACCUUGGAGGAUUCUGGUUCCCACAGUCAUCUCCGCCAGGAUGAUCUAUUUGGGGCUGGGCACUGAGACGUUGACCUCUCAGCAGAAACAAGGACAUGGCUGCAAUGGUGUUCCUUUUCCUGUGGCCACCAUCUGUGACCACUCUGUAUACUUCUCCCUUUGCACCUGGAUGGGCCCUCUGCACCCUCAGCACAGAAC